AUGGAUAUUAUCAUCCUCCCAAGGCGCACCUCCUGCCGCCGGCCACGCUGUUCGCCCUCCCGCCGCUCUGUUCAACUGCCUCUUCUUUUGCUAGCUAGCAAUAUGUCAGCAACCUUCCUACAACUACUACCUGAACUGGACAGUGGGCCACUCUUGGGCCAUGGGCCUGCGGAGAAGCCAUGGAAAGCAAUGACUACAUAUACGGGUGGAGAUGGAAACGAGCGACUCGGCUUGGAUCGGAAGGCUUCGGCCUGGCUUGGCUGGCUAGCGUCUCUCUCUCUCUCCUCUUUGGUUCCUCAUCGUCUCCCUCCUCUGAUCUCCAUCUUCCUCCAUAUCCUAGCCUCAAAUUUCCAAAUUAAUUUUUUUUUCUCCACCACUGCCUACAACCUGUUUGAAAAAAUGCCAAGCCACAAAUUCGCCUGCCCCAAGGGCGUUCUUCACGCCCGGAUCAGCGACGUUCGUCAGGUGGUCUCCUUCGAGUCGAUUCGCCAGUUGUUCCGCCGCUUUGGUGAUGGAUAUGUGAUCUGUGCUUACGAGCGGAUGGUGGACGGGAUGUACGGCGUGGAGGCGUACAUUGAGUUCCGGUCUCGAUGGAGGGCGGCACGAGCUCGUGAUGCCCUGGAUGGCCAUGCUAUCUAUGAUGGUUGCUGCAUCCUUGCCAUCGACCUCGUCCCGCCGGUCUACACCACCAUCACCAUGCCGGCUGACGACGGGAUGGCGCCCUCGUACUUCUACAACGACACCCCCUACACGGAGUGGACUGCAGCGUUGGCCGCGGCCGAGCGCCAUGAUGAGGCGCCAGCUACAUCCAGCGACGACCUCCAACUCGAGGCGUCCAUGGGUGCCAUCAACGCGCCUGCGUCCGAGCUCGCCGGGCCUACAACAUCAACUCCGUCCGCGACCACCGACAUUGGUACCCAAGCUGCGACACGCCCGAGGAGUCGGCGCUCAGCUCGUCCUCGACACCUAUCUUCAUCCAUGACCAUCGACAAUGUCGUGCAUGAACCUGAACUCGACCACGACAUCGACAAGGAUGACCCCUUGGUGGCAUGCCCGGCCCUUUGGAGGCUGCCUUGGGAUCCAGGGACUAGCAAGCUCAGUUGGUAUUUUCACGAGUUUAGUGUUCUGCCAAGUUCAAGUUUAACUGCACUCAAUGACUGGCUUGAUUCUGAUGAGGACAAUGGUAGUGUUAGUAGUCAAUCAGAUGGAGAAACUGAUGAGAAGGUAUCUGCAAGACUAUCUUUGGACCAAGAGGAUUUGGAUGGUGAUGAUUUUCAGCAGCAAUGUGGUCUUCGUUCAUAUCCAGAUGAGUUUUACCUUUGCUCAGUUGCUCUUUGGGGGGCCUUAUUUGGUUUCCAUCUGAGAUGUGGUCAAGCCUGUUACAACUCCAAUUAUCUGGUCAACGAAGAUGUUCAUGGAGGGCCUUUAAUGAUCCAGCAUACAUGUCUUGAUCCUGGAGAUGAGCUGUUAAUUAGUACUAACCUUGUUGCUCUGGAAUCACAUAUGUUUCAACUAUCUGGCAGUGGCGAUGGACUGAAAUCAACAAGUGUUAGUAUUCAGGUAAUUAACCCAAUCAAGGAGAGAGCUGUGAAAUUGGUCAGACAACAGUUGUUGAUUCUUGAGCCUGGUGCUAGUAUAAUGUUACUAGAACUAUUUCCUCGACCUGAUGAUCACUUGACACUGAGGAUACUUGGUGCUGCACCUAUGAACGCCAGUUCAAAUUGCUUGUUGGAAGACAUUAAGUACAUACCUGAUAACUUGCCUGCUGCUCCUUGGUACUGUUCUGAAUAUCCCCAAUUGGAAAUUGCCAGGUCGAUUGAUUUCACAUGCUACACCAUUGCCAACAAGUACAUGCAACCAUUCCUUGCAGUACCAUUGUCACACGGUGCUCCUUACGUUACACCUUUUCCUGCUACAUACAACUUGUCUUUUACUUCGGAUGCAUUCUAUUGCAAUGGAAUGGAGUUAUGCUCUGCAAUGACAUGGUUCUAUAAAUCCGGUCAUUCUGCUGGGGUGAUAUAUGACCCUGAGGUUCUGAAUCCAUGGCCACCACCAUUGUACUUGAGUAUUCUGGCGCUCAGUUCCUUCAGAGGUAACAUUCGCACAGCAACCUCAGACUAUUAUUGGAAUAAUCAGUGUUGUUUCCAGCAUGUCCAAUGGAAAAUUAAUUGGUUUGCCCAGCCACUGUUUCCAAAAUCAGUGCAACUUUCUCUGUCGCAAUGGACGAUUGCUUGGUCGACCAGUGAUGCAUUAUUGAAGUAUGCCUUUCUGUUUUGCACUCCUAAAGGGGUUCCCUUUUAUGCUUCAAAACAAAUUCAGUGGGAAAAUGCUACUGAGAUUUUCAGGAAAUUGUUGCUUUCCAGCAUGGGUGAGGAAAUCCUUCCAGCCAACUCAAUUGUCGUCUGCUAUAAAAUUGUUGAUGUUGCUGUUUGGUCCAAGUUUGCUACAGGAUUCAAACAAAUAGAGGCAUAUUUUGUUGAGCACUGCAUGACACAGUGCAGAUAUGUGGGCUUUUCUCAUAGUGCCACUCUAGCACAUUUGCAGAUAUGGCAAGCUGCUUUUGUUGCUCUGUUCAGUUCCAAGGAGGCAAUGGAUCAAUCGUGGGUUUCCUAUUGUCAGAGAGUUUGCUCUGUUUCAGCUUGGUGGCGCGACAAUCUGGACAGUGUAAAUGAUGCUUGGUCACUUUGCUAUGACUGUUCUGCUAUCGACAAUAUCUCAAUGCGAUUCAUAUUCAAGUGUUCAGCAGCUGUGAUUUGGUGCACAUUAUUUCAAAUGCAUGUCGAGUUCGCUGCCAUAUAUCUGAAAAUCAUGGCCCAAUGCUCUACUCUUGAGUUGAUGAGCUGCAACCUUUCAGGAGCUCUAGCCUUUGACUUCUAUAAUGGCUGUGAGGUACAAUUGGUGUUUGAAUUUGCUCACUUGAUAAAAUGGAAGAUUGCUCCGGUGCUAUCUGCGGUGCAUACAGAUGAAGCCCACAGCGGCCAGUGUGUAUUUUUCACGGGAUUGCAUAAUUGGGACUCAGGUGAGAAGCUUCUUAGUUCGGUUCAGUGUGUUGUACGGACGCUUUGGGAUCCUGGUGGUUCCACAUUUGGUCGGCUUGAGGGCAAGCCGGAUUUUAAGGGGGAGGGAUUGUCAGCAACCUUCCCUACAUCUACUACCUGGACUGGACAGUGGGCCGCUCUUGGGCCAUGGGCCUGCGGAGAAGCCAUGGAAAGCAAUGACUACAUAUACGGGUGGAGAUGGAAACGAGCGACUCGGCUUGGAUCGGAAGGCUUCGGCCUGGCUUUGCUGGCUAGCGUCUCUCUCUCUCCUCUCUGGUUCCUCAUCGUCUCCCUCCUCUGA
This 3339-nucleotide ribosomal RNA is filed under the name Triticum aestivum (bread wheat). RNAcentral describes it as "partial small subunit ribosomal RNA". Lineage: Eukaryota; Viridiplantae; Streptophyta; Magnoliopsida; Poales; Poaceae. The record is from RNAcentral.